UACGUAGGGGGCAAGCGUUGUCCGGAAUCAUUGGGCGUAAAGAGCGCGUAGGCGGUCCGGUAAGUCCGCUGUGAAAGUCAAGGGCUCAACCCUUGAAUGCCGGUGGAUACUGUCGGGCUAGAGUCCGGAAGAGGCGAGUGGAAUUCCUGGUGUAGCGGUGAAAUGCGUAGAUAUCAAGAGGAACACCUGCGGCGAAGGCGGGUUGCUGGGCCGACACUGACGCUGAGGCGCGAAAGCCAGGGGAGCGAAUGGG
RNAcentral lists this ribosomal RNA (253 nucleotides) under uncultured bacterium. RNAcentral's name for it is "partial 16S ribosomal RNA". It matches the Rfam family "Bacterial small subunit ribosomal RNA", at positions 524 to 776 of the family's 1533-position model. The record is from RNAcentral.